AUCGAUCUGUUUCUCACACACACCUAUCAUAUUGCUUCUGAAGAUAUGGAUUUAAGCACUGGAGUCUUAUGGAUUUGAUAAAGUUUAUGCUGCCAUAAAGUCUUUUUAGGACCUUUUGCAUUCUGGUCACCAUUCACUUGCAUUGUGUGGACCUACAGAGCUGAAAUCUUAAUUUGUCCUCAGUAGAAGAAAGUCAUACACAUAUGGGGUGGCAUGUGGAAAAAAUAUCUAAAUGAUGAUGACUGAACCCCAGUCAUUGGAGCACGUGUCGUGGCCAAUGGGCCAGGAUGCCGGGUCGCUAUUCAUUUCAAGUGCCGAGACCUAGGGAGGGGAGUGCGUUGCGACUGCCAGGACUGUCACCUGACCUUCCCCUGUCUUCACUACUCUUUCCUUCACAUAGCCCUUUUCACUGCAAAGGCCCCAGAUUUCCCUUUGUUUUGGACAUUUUAAAUAAAUGCCUCUCUGAGGCCUGACGCCACACCCACUGUCUGUCUCUUGCUCACCCCGCCACAAAGUAUUGUCAGAUUUUACUACUUAUUUGAAAUAUGUUCUUUUAUCGUAAUCUUGACCAACCAUUUGAGAUUUUCGGUCUUUCCCCAUUCAAGUAGAUAUGAGCUGCACUUUCAUAACGCUUGUUUACAUAAAAAAAUAGCAGCCCAAACUGCCCAAGAGCGUUCCAAAGACGGCAGCCGAGUGGACUGACUUACCUUGAAAAAGAGACUUUGUUGAAAGGAUCCGGAAAUACCAUUCUAAUUCCUUGUUUACAUUUUUGAAAUGGUUUAUAUUUAAGAACAUGUUCACAAUAUUGCAUAGCCUUUUGUACCCAAACUUAUCUCAAAUAAAAAAGGUGACAGGAGAUCAAAUUUUAGAACAAUGGUCUGCUUGGUCUGCUCCCAGUGGUUGAAGCUGGAAGUCCAGUUGAACAUAUGCAGACCUUCAUGUGGUGCACUACGUAAGAGCAAGACAUGAGCUGCAUGAACAACGUCCAAAUGAAAAAUUUGUGUAGUGAUUUACAUUAAUAUACUCUUAACCCGAACCAUAAACCUAACCAUAACAGUACUGAUACCAAAACUGAGUUCUUUCUACUUUGCAAAUGUAGUGUCUUGGUAGCCAGCGAACAAAAGGGAGGUGACGUCACAGGCACAGCGGGGGCGAUUUUCAGGAUAUGAACAUUCACCACAUGUGGUGCACUUGUCUGUAAUUAGGCAAAUCAGGUCCAAAUUUGAAAAUAACUUUGCCUGUGAGAUCAUAUUGUUGUACCUUUAUUUCUUAAUUGUAACCCAGAUUAAAGAUUUCAGUGUAUGUACAGUAUGUUAAUGUGUGCAGACUUAUUUCUGUCCAAACAUUUACUUUCUUAUUCACAGGUAUAUAAUGAAGACAAGAGUUCAAGUUUAAGUUUCCCCUGGACUACACUUCCCAUAAUGCACUUCCUUCAUCACUGCCAUCUGUUCCCAAUCCACCUCACCUGUUCUCUGUUCCCUCCUCAGCACCUUUGUGUAUAAAUACCCUCCAGUUUUCUUCAUUCCUGGUCAGUUCUUGAAGUGUUGCAUUUAACCCUCUGGGGUCUGAGGGUGUUUUGGGCCCUGGAGAAGUUUUGACAUGUCUUGACAUUUGUGCUUUUUUCAGUUGCUUAAAAACAUAUUAAUGGCUAAACUCUAACACUGUAUUCAGCACAAACUGGGCUACAAUAAUAUGUGAACAACAUGUAUGUACAUGUUUGUAUUUCUGAGAAAAUAACGUUUAUGCGUGGUUUUUGAAAAAACAAAAAUUGUAAGUCACUGAAAUAAGGCCAUAUAUCACAUACUAGACAUUUGUUCACAAGACUUUUGUGAACUGGAUCAUGUAGCCUGGAGGUUUUGCUACAAAAUGAUGUGAAACCAUCCUGAUCACUCAUUCAUACAAAACAAUAUAGUCAUUUAACUUUUGUAAGACACUUUAAGUGUUAGAAAGACCAUAUGCGAGGAGGCGUGGAUGAUCAUGAAUAUUGAUAUGAUUCACACCUGAGGAGACAAAGACCCCUCCCCUGAGAGAGAAUGAAUGUGAGGAGACUUAAUGAUUGAAUGUAUUAUCUGACUAUACAUUUUCUUUACAUAAAGACUUAAACUUUAGACCAACACUACCGUUUAAGAAUUUAUGGAUCUGUAAGAUUUUUUUAAUGUUUUUAAAAGAAGUCUCUUCUGCUCACCAAGGCUGCAUUUAUUUGAUCCAAAAUACAGCAAAAACAGUGAUUGUGAAAUAUUUUUACAAUUUAAAAUAACCGUUUUCUAUUUGAAUAUAUUGUCAAAUGCAAUUUAUUCCUGUGAUCAAAGCUGAAUUUUCAGCAUCAUUACUGCAGUCUUCAGUGUCACAUGAUCCUUCAGAAAUCAUUCUAAUAUGCUGAUUUUCUAAUAUGGGCAUAUUUACAGCACAUUUACACCCGAACAGAUAUUUGCAAGCACAAGCUUCAUUGAUGAUAAUGAGGCAGCAUAAACACUAGUUAAAAUAUAAUCUAAACAUUCAUAUUAUUUUUAUAUCAUAUUACAUAUCAUAUUUAUAUCAUACAGCAUACAAUUUAAAUACCUGCUUUAGCCGAAACAUUUAAAUGUAACUAAAACUUGCCUAUAAGGAUAUAUUGCAAAUGUCAAUACUCUGAAUCCUGGCUGGCAAGUCUGGAAAUAGUCCAGCUAGUAAAAUAUGUACAUGUUUAUAUAAAAUAGCAUGUCAACUAAUGUAAGUAAAACUAAAUGACUUACUCAUCCGGAAUUGUAUCCUCGGCUGGAUCAAGUCGCUCUUCAAAAUGACUCCGCCUUCCACAGCUCCGCCCCCAGAGUCUUCCACUGCUUCGCCGGCCUCCGAGCCUCUCCCGGCUCCGCCUGCCUCCGUCGACACUUCCUUGGCUCCACCCUCAAUCCCUGGAUCUCCCCCUCCUACGCCUCUGCCCAUUCCACCACGCUCUCCAUUAUCUAUGUCUCAAAACCCUAAUCCUCCUGUGGCUCUGCCAGCUCCUCCUCUGGUUCCUUCCCUUGAGAUCCAAAUCCUCCAUUCUCCUGUGGCUUCAUCUCCGGACCCAUCUCUGGCUCCACCAUCGAGACCUCAAGUCCCUUCUCUGUGGCUGCCUACUGGGCUCCUGAUCCAGUCCCUGCUCUGUGGCUGCCUCCUGACCCAGUUCCUGUCCCGCGGCCUAGGCCCCUGGAUCAAUUCCCAGCCCUGAAGCCACCCCCCAGGCCUUCUGAUCAUCUUCUUUGGAUCCUUCCUCACCUUCUGCAUCACCCUACCCUCCUCAUCCGUCUUUGGGGUACCAGGAGUCGCCCUUUGGGAGGGGGGUGUUAAUGUCACAAUUAUUCUCUGUUCUGUGGACUCUAAUUUUGAUAUGGUUUUUGUGUCAUCCUCAGUUUCCCCUGGACUACACUUCCCAUAAUGCACUGCCCUCAUCACUACCAUCUGUUCCCAAUCCUCCUGACCUGUUCUCCGUUCCCUCAUCAGCACCUUUGUGUAUAAAUAUCCUCCAGUUUUAUUCAUUCCUUGUCAGUUCUUGAAGUGUUAUGUUUAAUGGAUAUGUUGUGAUGUUUAGCGUCAUUGUUUGUUCCAAUCCAGCGUUUAUUAUUAAAAGUAUCUACU
Long non-coding RNA from Myxocyprinus asiaticus (Chinese sucker), 3597 nucleotides. RefSeq lists it as uncharacterized. Lineage: Eukaryota; Metazoa; Chordata; Actinopteri; Cypriniformes; Catostomidae. The transcript has 3 exons. The record is from RefSeq and is a predicted model, not a curated record.